UGGUGUGUUAGAAGUACACGCCCUACUUAUUUGACAUUUUUGAGAGUUUAUCCAAUCCGGUUCAAUUGUUUCAAAUUUGGCAGACUAUGUAUCUCUGCAUUCUAUUGACUACUCACAGAACCAGCUUCGGCCCCGCCCAGACAAACCUGGACCCCUAAAUGUACCUGCAGCAUUGCGUUUCACUCACUCACUGUGCACUCUAGCAUAGUAGGUGGCAGUAAUGCACCUUUCAGUUGGUUGCCACCCGCCAUUUAAAAGACAAAAGAAGAAGAAGUCACUCACUGUGACACGAACUGACAUUUUAUUUACUUGUAAAUGGACAGCUGCCUAGAUGCUUCUUUGUGUGUGGACACCAUUUCACCUCCGUUUCUUUUGAAAACAAGGGAACGAGCGCUCCGUUCCUACAAGACGUGAUCCACUUGCUGCUUCCCCAAACGCUGACGUAUCCCAGCUACCAAAAGGCAAGGAGGUUUCUUCUUAAACUGACAUGCCACUGCAGGCUGUGGGCACACGGCUACCUUGUAGAACAGUUGUUGCUUACCUCAGGAGCAAAGAUUAUGUGGAAAAUGGGAUAGAGACCAUCUUCAAUAAAGUCUUGCUGGACUCAGGUCGUUAUAUGGAGGACCUUACCCUGUCCCUACCAGGCCUCUGAGCAGAAUUUGAGCAACCUGACAGAAAGGAGGUCAUUAAUGUCAUGCCAAGAUUUAACAAACCAGCACUAUAAAAGCUAAGUUCAAAACGUGUUUGCUCCAAACACCAUUAAAACUGAUCUAACUACCUCUAUAUAUUGUUUACAUUUGUGAAGGUUGUGAGAUACAUAUGUAAUACUGGACAUUUCAUUAAUCUACUAUUCUAUUCUCUAUACCUUCUAGAGUAGUGUCAAGGAAAACAGCUGCAUCCUCCAUCUGUACAGCAGCUGCACUGCUUCCGAUGUCUUCCAAAAAGUGAUGAAGACAAAAAGAUCCUCACAUCUCCCGAGCUAACUGCCCACGACUUUACUUGUUCCACUUCACAAUCUGUGCUUUCAACAUAACUAUGAAUCCUCAUUUUGUGGUCUGCACAUUGAGCUGUGAAGGUAACUUAUCCAGCAUUAUAGUGCUGGUGCAUUUGUUGACAAUAAAGUUGGCUUUGACUAUUACUGUUUCA
Molecule: long non-coding RNA, 1146 nt
Organism: Betta splendens (Siamese fighting fish)
Lineage: Eukaryota; Metazoa; Chordata; Actinopteri; Anabantiformes; Osphronemidae
Source: Ensembl